Molecule: ribosomal RNA, 429 nt
Filed under: Gemmatimonadota bacterium
Lineage: Bacteria; Pseudomonadati; Gemmatimonadota
Description: Gemmatimonadetes bacterium partial 16S ribosomal RNA
Rfam family: Bacterial small subunit ribosomal RNA
Source: RNAcentral
UAGGGAAUCUUCGGCAAUGGACGAAAGUCUGACCGAGCAACGCCGCGUGAGUGAAGAAGGUUUUCGGAUCGUAAAACUCUGUUGUUAGAGAAGAACAAGGACGUUAGUAACUGAACGUCCCCUGACGGUAUCUAACCAGAAAGCCACGGCUAACUACGUGCCAGCAGCCGCGGUAAUACGUAGGUGGCAAGCGUUGUCCGGAUUUAUUGGGCGUAAAGCGAGCGCAGGCGGUUUCUUAAGUCUGAUGUGAAAGCCCCCGGCUCAACCGGGGAGGGUCAUUGGAAACUGGGAGACUUGGGUGCAGAAGAGGAGAGUGGAAUUCCAUGUGUAGCGGUGAAAUGCGUAGAUAUAUGAAGGAACACCAGUGGCGAAGGCGGCUCUCUGGUCUGUAACUGACGCUGAGGCUCGAAAGCGUGGGGAGCAAACAGG